This is a long non-coding RNA of Alosa sapidissima (American shad), 600 nucleotides long. RefSeq lists it as uncharacterized. Lineage: Eukaryota; Metazoa; Chordata; Actinopteri; Clupeiformes; Clupeidae. The transcript has 3 exons. The record is from RefSeq and is a predicted model, not a curated record.
GCCAUCAUGCCAAGGCAAUACACCAGGAAGACAACCUGGGGCAAAACACCCCUCGAGGAGAUGGAGAGUGCAGCCGCUGAGGUCAAGGAAGGAAAGAAGUCUAUCAGAGCAGCUGCAAGGGACAGAAAUAUUGACAAGUCAAGCCUUUUAAGAUUCAUAAAGAAAAAAGAGAAAGGGGAAGUAAAAUCAGUUGCCUGGGGUGCAGUAGCUAAGGCACAGAGAAUUAUUACAGAUGAGAUGGAGGAGGAGCUUGCCAAACACUUGAAACAACUAGCUGAACAGUUCCAUGGCCUUCCUCCAGUUAAGUCCCGUCAACUGGCCUUUGAAUAUGCAGAAAGAAACAAUAUCCCUGUCCCUGACAAUUGGACAAAGACACAAUGUGCAGGUGAAGAUUGGUUUCGCAGCUUCCUAGCACGUCGCCAUCUCUCUAUCCGAACUCCAGAGGCAACAUCCCUGGGAAGGGCUACAGCCUUGAAUAAAACUACAGUCAGGGAGUUCUUUGACAAUCUGGCUGUAGUGAUGGGCAGGCAUGCCUUCCCUCCACACAUGAUUUACAAUGUGGAUGAAACAGGUGUCUUUACAGUACAAAAGCCACAGCAG